Molecule: unclassified non-coding RNA, 200 nt
Filed under: Humicola sp.
Lineage: Eukaryota; Fungi; Ascomycota; Sordariomycetes; Sordariales; Chaetomiaceae
Description: partial internal transcribed spacer 2
Source: RNAcentral
UUAAGUUCAGCGGGUCUUCCUACCUGAUCCGAGGUCAACCUUGGGUAAAUAAGGCUUUUAACGGCCGGAACCCGCAGCACGCCCUGAGCGAGAUGUAUUACUACGCUCGGAGUGACUAGCGAGCCCGCCACUGGUUUUCGGGGACUGCCUGGGCAGAUCCCCAACGCCGGGCCACGGGGGCUCGAGGGUUGAAACGACGC